GUGGGGAAUCUUCCGCAAUGGACGAAAGUCUGACGGAGCAACGCCGCGUGAGUGAUGAAGGUCUUCGGAUUGUAAAGCUCUGUUAAUCGGGACGAAAGAGCCUAGUGUGAAUAAUGCUAGGAAGUGACGGUACCGGAAUAGAAAGCCACGGCUAACUACGUGCCAGCAGCCGCGGUAAUACGUAGGUGGCAAGCGUUGUCCGGAAUUAUUGGGCGUAAAGCGCGCGCAGGCGGAUCUGCCAGUCUGUCUUAAAAGUUCGGGGCUUAACCCCGUGAUGGGAUGGAAACUACAGGUCUAGAGUAUCGGAGAGGAAAGUGGAAUUCCUAGUGUAGCGGUGAAAUGCGUAGAUAUUAGGAAGAACACCAGUGGCGAAGGCGACUUUCUGGACGAAAACUGACGCUGAGGCGCGAAAGCCAGGGGAGCGAACGGGAUUAGAUACCCCUGUAGUCC
RNAcentral lists this ribosomal RNA (450 nucleotides) under uncultured bacterium. RNAcentral describes it as "partial 16S ribosomal RNA". It matches the Rfam family "Bacterial small subunit ribosomal RNA", at positions 354 to 796 of the family's 1533-position model. The record is from RNAcentral.